AUUAAACGCUGGCGGCAUGCCUUACACAUGCAAGUCGAACGGUAGCGCGGGGCAACCUGGCGACGAGUGGCGAACGGGUGAGUAAAGCAUCGGAACGUGCCCUGGAAUGGGGGAUAACGUAGCGAAAGUUACGCUAAUACCGCAUAUUCUGUGAGCAGGAAAGCAGGGGAUCGCAAGACCUUGCGUUCUGGGAGCGGCCGAUGUCGGAUUAGCUGGUUGGUGGGGUAAAAGCCUACCAAGGCGACGAUCCGUAGCGGGUCUGAGAGGAUGAUCCGCCACACUGGGACUGAGACACGGCCCAGACUCCUACGGGAGGCAGCAGUGGGGGAAUUUUGGACAAUGGGCGGAAGCCUGAUCCAGCCAUGCCGCGUGAGUGAAGAAGGCCUUCGGUUG
This 393-nucleotide ribosomal RNA is filed under the name uncultured bacterium. RNAcentral's name for it is "bacterial SSU rRNA". It matches the Rfam family "Bacterial small subunit ribosomal RNA", at positions 29 to 425 of the family's 1533-position model. The record is from RNAcentral.